GCUAUACCCUCCAUAUAAGAGACUGAAGAAGAAGAAGAAGAAGAUAGUGUUAUUCUCGCUUCUUUGAGAUUGCACUUUGUCCUUUACGUACCAUGUUUGAAUUCCUUCCUCUACUCGCGUCGAUUGAGUCAAUCACAAACUGUCUACACUGUAACACCCAAGAAACGUCUUUUCACUUUUGGCUAGAAUGUGCACAAUUUGCCCUCCAACGAAGCCGUUUGGGCACUAAGAUAGGCAUCGACAUUUCAACGAUUACGAACCUAGAGUCUUUAUAUUGGUCACAAAACACUGAAAAAAUCAGUAAAUAUAUACAACCCUUGGAACAAUAUAUUCAAACUACACAUCGACUGUGAACAUUAAAUAAUAUCUCGGAGGAUAAAGCGGUGGCUAUACCCUCCAUAUAAAAAUGAUGAUGAUGAUAGUGUUAUUCACGUAUACAGCUGUAGUGAAGCUCUGUCUCCUCGUUUGUUGAAAUCCGUUAGAUGACAUUCAAAGCAGGUUACAAGUUAAGUGUUGUAACGCAAUGUUAACUCGUUUCGCCGAAUAGCUUG
This 551-nucleotide long non-coding RNA is filed under the name Androctonus crassicauda. The record is from RNAcentral. Lineage: Eukaryota; Metazoa; Arthropoda; Arachnida; Scorpiones; Buthidae.